This 636-nucleotide ribosomal RNA is filed under the name uncultured marine eukaryote. RNAcentral's name for it is "SSU rRNA". It matches the Rfam family "Eukaryotic small subunit ribosomal RNA", at positions 617 to 1257 of the family's 1831-position model. The record is from RNAcentral.
GGUUAAAAAGCUCGUAGUUGGAUUUCUGUCGAGGACAACCGGUCCGCACUUUGUGCGUGUAUCUGGCUUGGCCUUGGCAUCCUCUUGGGGAACGUUGCUGCGAUUGAUUUCGUGGUACGGUAUUCAAGACUUUUACUUUGAGGAAAUUAGAGUGUUUACAGCAGGCAAACGCCUUGAAUACAUUAGCAUGGAAUAAUAAUAUAGGACCUUGGUUCUAUUUUGUUGGUUUCUAGAACUAAGGUAAUGAUUAAUAGGGACAAUUGGGGGCAUUCGUAUUAACUCGUCAGAGGUGAAGUUCUUGGAUUGAGUUACGACGAACUACUGCGAAAGCAUUUGCCAAGGAUGUUUUCAUUGAUCAAGAACGAAAGUGCGGGGAUCGAAGACGAUUAGAUACCGUCGUAGUCUGCACCAUAAACUAUGCCAACUAGAGAUUGGAGGUCGUUCUUUUUGUGACUCCUUCAGCACCUUAUGAGAAAUCAAAGUUUUUGGGUUCCGGGGGGAGUAUGGUCGCAAGGCUGAAACUUAAAGGAAUUGACGGAAGGGCACCACCAGGAGUGGAGCCCGCGGCUUAAUUUGACUCAACACGGGAAAACUUACCAGGCCCAGACAUAGUAAGGAUUGACAGAUUGAUAGCUC